AUGCAGCUCUCCCUCCUCCCAGAUCCAGCCGUCGAACCCAACCCCUUGGGCCACCGGAUCCUGGGGUCACCGGUCGACCACGGCACCGUCACUGCCCAUCCAAGCCUGUGUCGGGAGCCAGGCUCCUCCCCUCAGCGUCGGCGCGGCUCACGGCCCGCAUCCUCCACUGCCCUUGAACACACCGCUCCGGCCUUCUUCCACAGAGACGGUGGCAGCUCUGCCUUCCACCAGCUGGCCAGGACUCCUCCAGUUCAUCGCGGCCAUACAUUCCACCGCCAUCCUCCUCCAUCAACGCCUACAUCCUCACCAGUGGCACAUCCUUCCUCCCCGCAGCCUAAAGCAAUUCCCUUUCGUCGUCGUUCUCGUAUCACGACCAACCACCGCCUCCCCAUCCCUCCGGCCUCGACCUGCAGCUAG
Molecule: ribosomal RNA, 417 nt
Filed under: Triticum aestivum (bread wheat)
Lineage: Eukaryota; Viridiplantae; Streptophyta; Magnoliopsida; Poales; Poaceae
Description: partial small subunit ribosomal RNA
Source: RNAcentral